CACACUGGACUGAGACACGGUCCAGACUCCUACGGGAGGCAGCAGUGGGGAAUAUUGCACAAUGGGCGCAAGCCUGAUGCAGCCAUGCCGCGUGUGUGAAGAAGGCCUUCGGGUUGUAAAGCACUUUCAGUCGUGAGGAAGGUAGUGUAGUUAAUAGCUGCAUUAUUUGACGUUAGCGACAGAAGAAGCACCGGCUAACUCCGUGCCAGCAGCCGCGGUAAUACGGAGGGUGCGAGCGUUAAUCGGAAUUACUGGGCGUAAAGCGCAUGCAGGUGGUUUGUUAAGUCAGAUGUGAAAGCCCGGGGCUCAACCUCGGAAUAGCAUUUGAAACUGGCAGACUAGAGUACUGUAGAGGGGGGUAGAAUUUCAGGUGUAGCGGUGAAAUGCGUAGAGAUCUGAAGGAAUACCGGUGGCGAAGGCGGCCCCCUGGACAGAUACUGACACUCAGAUGCGAAAGCGUGGGGAGCAAACAGGAUUAGAUACCCUGGUAGUCCACGCCGUAAACGAUGUCUACUUGGAGGUUGUGGCCUUGAGCCGUGGCUUUCGGAGCUAACGCGUUAAGUAGACCGCCUGGGGAGUACGGUCGCAAGAUUAAAACUCAAAUGAAUUGACGGGGGCCCGCACAAGCGGUGGAGCAUGUGGUUUAAUUCGAUGCAACGCGAAGAACCUUACCUACUCUUGACAUCCAGAGAACUUUCCAGAGAUGGAUUGGUGCCUUCGGGAACUCUGAGACAGGUGCUGCAUGGCUGUCGUCAGCUCGU
RNAcentral lists this ribosomal RNA (761 nucleotides) under Vibrio harveyi. RNAcentral describes it as "bacterial SSU rRNA". It matches the Rfam family "Bacterial small subunit ribosomal RNA", at positions 309 to 1063 of the family's 1533-position model. Lineage: Bacteria; Pseudomonadati; Pseudomonadota; Gammaproteobacteria; Vibrionales; Vibrionaceae. The record is from RNAcentral. RNAcentral also lists the same sequence under 2 other names.